Molecule: ribosomal RNA, 1371 nt
Filed under: uncultured bacterium
Lineage: Bacteria
Description: bacterial SSU rRNA
Rfam family: Bacterial small subunit ribosomal RNA
Source: RNAcentral
GAUGAACGCUGGCGGCGUGCCUAAUACAUGCAAGUCGAGCGAACGGACGAGAAGCUUGCUUCUCUGAUGUUAGCGGCGGACGGGUGAGUAACACGUGGAUAACCUACCUAUAAGACUGGGAUAACUUCGGGAAACCGUAGCUAAUACCGGAUAAUAUUUUGAACCGCAUGGUUCAAAAGUGAAAGACGGUCUUGCUGUCACUUAUAGAUGGAUCCGCGCUGCAUUAGCUAGUUGGUAAGGUAACGGCUUACCAAGGCAACGAUGCAUAGCCGACCUGAGAGGGUGAUCGGCCACACUGGAACUGAGACACGGUCCAGACUCCUACGGGAGGCAGCAGUAGGGAACCUUCCGCAAUGGGCGAAAGCCUGACGGAGCAACGCCGCGUGAGUGAUGAAGGUCUUCGGAUCGUAAAACUCUGUUAUUAGGGAAGAACAUAUGUGUAAGUAACUGUGCACAUCUUGACGGUACCUAAUCAGAAAGCCACGGCUAACUACGUGCCAGCAGCCGCGGUAAUACGUAAGUGGCAAGCGUUAUCCGGAAUUAUUGGGCGUAAAGCGCGCGUAGCGGUUUUUUAAGUCUGAUGUGAAAGCCCACGGCUCAACCGUGGAGGGUCAUUGGAAACUGGAAAACUUGAGUGCAGAAGAGGAAAGUGGAAUUCCAUGUGUAGCGGUGAAAUGCGCAGAGAUAUGGAGGAACACCAGUGGCGAAGGCGACUUUCUGGUCUGUAACUGACGCUGAUGUGCGAAAGCGUGGGGAUCAAACAGGAUUAGAUACCCUGGUAGUCCACGCCGUAAACGAUGAGUGCUAAGUGUUAGGGGGUUUCCGCCCCUUAGUGCUGCAGCUAACGCAUUAAGCACUCCGCCUGGGGAGUACGACCGCAAGGUUGAAACUCAAAGGAAUUGACGGGGACCCGCACAAGCGGUGGAGCAUGUGGUUUAAUUCGAAGCAACGCGAAGAACCUUACCAAAUCUUGACAUCCUUUGACAACUCUAGAGAUAGAGCCUUCCCCUUCGGGGGACAAAGUGACAGGUGGUGCAUGGUUGUCGUCAGCUCGUGCCGUGAGAUGUUGGGUUAAGUCCCGCAACGAGCGCAACCCUUAAGCUUAGUUGCCAUCAUUAAGUUGGGCACUCUAAGUUGACUGCCGGUGACAAACCGGAGGAAGGUGGGGAUGACGUCAAAUCAUCAUGCCCCUUAUGAUUUGGGCUACACACGUGCUACAAUGGACAAUACAAAGGGCAGCGAAACCGCGAGGUCAAGCAAAUCCCAUAAAGUUGUUCUCAGUUCGGAUUGUAGUCUGCAACUCGACUACAUGAAGCUGGAAUCGCUAGUAAUCGUAGAUCAGCAUGCUACGGUGAAUACGUUCCCGGGUCU